CCUACGGGAGGCAGCAGUGGGGAAUAUUGCACAAUGGGCGAAACCCUGAUGCAGCGACGCCGCGUGAGUGAAGAAGUAUUUCGGUAUGUAAAGCUCUAUCAGCAGGGAAGAAAAUGACGGUACCUGAUUUAGAAGCCCCGGCUAACUACGUGCCAGCAGCCGCGGUAAUACGUAGGGGGCAAGCGUUAUCCGGAUUUACUGUGUGUAAAGGGAGCGUAGACGGCAGGACAAGUCUGGAGUGAAAUGCCGGGGCUUAACCCCGGAACUGCUUUGGAAACUGUGCAGCUAGAGUGCAGGAGAGGUAAGUGGAAUUCCUAGUGUAGCGGUGAAAUGCGUAGAUAUUAGGAGGAACACCAGUGGCGAAGGCGGAUUACUGGACUGUAACUGACGUUGAGGCGCGAAAGCGUGGGGAGCAAACAGGAUUAGAUACCCUAGUAGUC
RNAcentral lists this ribosomal RNA (440 nucleotides) under uncultured bacterium. RNAcentral's name for it is "partial 16S ribosomal RNA". It matches the Rfam family "Bacterial small subunit ribosomal RNA", at positions 338 to 795 of the family's 1533-position model. The record is from RNAcentral.